Molecule: ribosomal RNA, 465 nt
Filed under: uncultured Klebsiella sp.
Lineage: Bacteria; Pseudomonadati; Pseudomonadota; Gammaproteobacteria; Enterobacterales; Enterobacteriaceae
Description: bacterial SSU rRNA
Rfam family: Bacterial small subunit ribosomal RNA
Source: RNAcentral
CCUACGGGUGGCUGCAGUGGGGAAUAUUGCACAAUGGGCGCAAGCCUGAUGCAGCCAUGCCGCGUGUGUGAAGAAGGCCUUCGGGUUGUAAAGCACUUUCAGCGGGGAGGAAGGCGUUAAGGUUAAUAACCUUGUCGAUUGACGUUACCCGCAGAAGAAGCGCCGGCUAACUCCGUGCCAGCAGCCGCGGUAGUACGGAGGGUGCAAGCGUUAAUCGGAAUUACUGGGCGUAAAGCGCACGCAGGCGGUCUGUCAAGUCGGAUGUGAAAUCCCCGGGCUCAACCUGGGAACUGCAUUCGAAACUGGCAGGCUAGAGUCUUGUAGAGGGGGGUAGAAUUCCAGGUGUAGCGGUGAAAUGCGUAGAGAUCUGGAGGAAUACCGGUGGCGAAGGCGGCCCCCUGGACAAAGACUGACGCUCAGGUGCGAAAGCGUGGGGAGCAAACAGGAUUAGAUACCCCAGUAGUC